RNAcentral lists this ribosomal RNA (120 nucleotides) under Hemitrygon akajei (red stingray). RNAcentral describes it as "partial 16S rRNA". Lineage: Eukaryota; Metazoa; Chordata; Chondrichthyes; Myliobatiformes; Dasyatidae. The record is from RNAcentral.
AACCCCAAAGCUAGCCAAAAAUAAAUUUAUACAUCCUCCAUUAUUAAUCUGAUAUAUACACCCCCCAUUAUCCAAAUUUAAAACAUUUUAUCCUUCUUAGUAUAGGCGAUAGAACAGAAC